RNAcentral lists this long non-coding RNA (209 nucleotides) under Elaeis guineensis (African oil palm). Its description in RNAcentral is "long non-coding RNA (EGUI_LNC004571)". The record is from RNAcentral. Lineage: Eukaryota; Viridiplantae; Streptophyta; Magnoliopsida; Arecales; Arecaceae.
CCGGUGCGGUGCCCUCUUCAGCAGCAGCUUCUUCUGAAACAGAAGGAACAAUGCUGCUCAAGUCCAAAUUCGGAUACAAUUUAUCGAUCGCAUCUUGAUCAUCCUCAUAUCCGAUACAGUAGGAAGCAAAUCUACCUUCGAGAAUUUUUUUCUUGAAUUCUUUCAAAUUUUUGUAGUUCUCGAUGGCCAGACUUAGGGCAUCCCUCGCC